CUACCCUUGACAUGUCGGUCGCGAGAACCAGAGAUGGAUCUCUUCAGUUCGGCUGGACCGAACACAGGUGCUGCAUGGCUGUCGUCAGCUCGUGUCGUGAGAUGUUGGGUUAAGUCCCGCAACGAGCGCAACCCUUGCCUUUAGUUGCCAUCAUUCAGUUGGGCACUCUAGAGGGACUGCCGGUGAUAAGCCGGAGGAAGGUGGGGAUGACGUCAAGUCCUCAUGGCCCUUACGGGUAGGGCUACACACGUGCUACAAUGGCGGUGACAGUGGGCAGCGACACAGCAAUGUGAUGCUAAUCCCAAAAAGCCGUCUCAGUUCGGAUUGCACUCUGCAACUCGGGUGCAUGAAGUCGGAAUCGCUAGUAAUCGCUAAUCAGCAGGUAGCGGUGAAUACGUUCCCGGGCCUUGUACACACCGCCCGUCACACCAUGGGAGUUGGUUCUACCUGAAGACGGUGCGCUAACCCGCAAGGGAGGCAGCCGGCCACGGUAGGGUCAGCGACUGGGGUG
RNAcentral lists this ribosomal RNA (511 nucleotides) under uncultured bacterium. Its description in RNAcentral is "bacterial SSU rRNA". It matches the Rfam family "Bacterial small subunit ribosomal RNA", at positions 975 to 1482 of the family's 1533-position model. The record is from RNAcentral.